GACGAACGCUGGCGGCGUGCUUAACACAUGCAAGUCGAACGGUAAGGCCCUUCGGGGUACACGAGUGGCGAACGGGUGAGUAACACGUGGGUGAUCUGCCCUGCACUUCGGGAUAAGCCUGGGAAACUGGGUCUAAUACCGGAUAGGACCACUGCAUGCAUGGGUGGUGGUGGCAAGCUUUUGCGGUGUGGGAGGGGCCGGCGGGCUAUCGGCGUGUUGGUGGGGUGAUGGCCGACCAAGGCGACGACGGGUAGCCGGCCUGGGAGGGUGACCGGCUACACUGGGCAUGAGGUACGGGCCAGACGGCUACGGGAGUCAGCAGUGGGUGAGGUUGGAGAGUGGGCGCAAGCCGGAUGCAGCGACGCCUGGUGAGGGAUGUCGGCGUUCGGGGUGUAAGCAUCGUUCAGCACCGACGAAGCGCAAGUGACGGUAGGUGCAGAAGAAGGACCGGCCAGCUACGUGCCAGCAGCCGCGGUAG
This 478-nucleotide ribosomal RNA is filed under the name uncultured bacterium. Its description in RNAcentral is "partial 16S ribosomal RNA". It matches the Rfam family "Bacterial small subunit ribosomal RNA", at positions 28 to 523 of the family's 1533-position model. The record is from RNAcentral.